GGACUACUGGGGUAUCUAAUCCCGUUUGCUCCCCUGGCUUUCGUGUUUCAGAGUCAGGAAUCUUCCAGGUAACCGCCUUCGCCACCGGUGUUCCUCAUGAUAUCUACGCAUUUCACUGCUACACCAUGAAUUCCGUUACCCCCUCCGAUCCUCUAGCCGAGCAGUAUCAAGCGCAGUUUCGCAGUUAAGCUGCGAGAUUUCACACCUGACUUACCCGACCUCCUACACACCCUUUACGCCCAAUGAAUCCGAACAACGCUCGGGACCUCUGUCUUACCGCGGCGGCUGGCAC
Molecule: ribosomal RNA, 292 nt
Filed under: uncultured bacterium
Lineage: Bacteria
Also listed under: 1 other name
Description: partial 16S ribosomal RNA
Source: RNAcentral